Molecule: ribosomal RNA, 556 nt
Filed under: Hanseniaspora sp.
Lineage: Eukaryota; Fungi; Ascomycota; Saccharomycetes; Saccharomycodales; Saccharomycodaceae
Description: partial large subunit ribosomal RNA
Rfam family: Eukaryotic large subunit ribosomal RNA
Source: RNAcentral
ACGGCGAGUGAAGCGGUAAAAGCUCAAAUUUGAAAUCUGGUACUUUCAGUGCCCGAGUUGUAAUUUGUAGAAUUUGUCUUUGAUUAGGUCCUUGUCUAUGUUCCUUGGAACAGGACGUCAUAGAGGGUGAGAAUCCCGUUUGGCGAGGAUACCUUUUCUCUGUAAGACUUUUUCGAAGAGUCGAGUUGUUUGGGAAUGCAGCUCAAAGUGGGUGGUAAAUUCCAUCUAAAGCUAAAUAUUGGCGAGAGACCGAUAGCGAACAAGUACAGUGAUGGAAAGAUGAAAAGAACUUUGAAAAGAGAGUGAAAAAGUACGUGAAAUUGUUGAAAGGGAAGGGCAUUUGAUCAGACAUGGUGUUUUUUGCAUGCACUCGCCUCUCGUGGGCUUGGGCCUCUCAAAAAUUUCACUGGGCCAACAUCAAUUCUGGCAGCAGGAUAAAUCAUUAAGAAUGUAGCUACUUCGGUAGUGUUAUAGCUUUUUGGAAUACUGUUAGCCGGGAUUGAGGACUGCGCUUCGGCAAGGAUGUUGGCAUAAUGGUUAAAUGCCGCCCGUCUUG